AUACAUUUUAGAUGUUGGAUACAUAGAUUCUCUUGUGAGUACGAUUCGGAUCUGUCUGGGACGUAAAUUCACAUUAAGUUGAAUAUAAGUAGGCCAUUAGAUUCGGUGCAAAACGUUGAAUCAAUUUUCGUGUUAUUUUCAUCAUACCAAAUUACCGAUGUAUGGAUAAAAGGAUCAUUAUCAGCUAGACAAAUCAAUGUUAAAUCAGUACCCUGAUCAUAGGGACCAAUUAUUCUGUCAUUAAGUAUUUCGCCAUUCGAAUUGACAAUUUCGAUUUUUUUCGGCCAUACAUUACAUUCAACAAUCGACAUGGUAAUGGACCAUAAAAACAACAAAGUUUUGGCCACAUUUUUCACAUUCAUCAUUAGUAUUCAAAUUGACGAUGGAUAUAGUCACAUUAAAAAUUUUUAUAAAAAAAACGAAAAUGGAACACAAAAAAGCACCAAGAUCGUUAUUGCAGAAAUUUUGAUUACAUGAUGGCAGCACAGUCACUAUUUCCUCUAUCAUAUCAAUUUAAGCUUUUGCUUAAUUUAAGUCAACAAACAAAAAAAAUUAUUUAACUGUCAUUUUUGUAGCAGCCGUUUUAAGACAAUGUUUGGAUAUACUCGAAAUAAAACCAAAUUUUUACUUUAAUGUUUUUAUCAAUUGAUUGUGCUCAGUAAUUAAAAGUAGUGAGGUAGAAAAUUUCAAAAAAUAUUUAAACUAAAUAACAAGAUUAAUUCAUUUAUUUUCACCAAUCGAAUGGAUCAUCAGGAUUACGAUUUCGAUGACGAUUAUGAUGUUGUUUCUGACGAAGGUUAUCUUGGCACCAUUGCUUGAAUUUAGCAUAUAAAUCUUGUGGUGUAUCAACUUGAGGAAUAUCGGAAUAAUUUUGUGUUAUGUAAAUACCUGUAUAAAGGCCAGCCGAAAAUAUCAAUAAGCCACGAAGCAUUUCCUAUCACCAGCAAAAAAAAAAAAUAUCUUCAACAAUAUUAAA
Molecule: long non-coding RNA, 976 nt
Organism: Dermatophagoides farinae (American house dust mite)
Lineage: Eukaryota; Metazoa; Arthropoda; Arachnida; Sarcoptiformes; Pyroglyphidae
Source: RefSeq, a predicted model, not a curated record